CUCCCUGCUCCCCCGCAGUCCCCACAUGCAGCAGCAGACUAGUGGGUAGAACUGCCGGGAUAUGGAGACAUCCUGAACCCCAGCAGCAGCAGUUCCAGAGCCCCGCCCCCAACCUCAGGCAUGAAGAGCAGGAUGUGUGGAAACUGUGGACACACCUCCCUUGAAGUCUGGCCUCCACCAGGACACUGCCUGGGUUAAAUUCCACACAUGUCUGGCCCCGAAGCCAAUCCUGUGAGCUUCCUUCAGCUAAAGCAAACCCUCCUCCAUGUCUCCUGUAGCUUCCUAGGUGCUGGGCUCAUUGAGCAACUGAGAUCUCUCACAAUGAUCAAUCAGGGCUGAUCCAUUCGAGAUUUUACUUGUGGUUGAUGUUAUUUUUCAAGUCAACAACCAAUUGCAGUAACAGCACUGAUUAAACACCGUCUCUCUGCCCUGCAUGGAAAUGCCAUCUUUCCUAUGUGUUACCUCCGAAUGAACUGGGCAUGGUUGCACUGGGCUUUGAGCCCAGCACUCUGAAGACAGAAGCAGGUGGAACUCCGUGAGUCUAAGGCCAGCCUAGUCUACAAAGAGAGUUCCAGGACAGCCAGGGCUACAUAAUGAAACCCUGUGUCAAAGCACAACCAACAGACAGCGUGGGUCUUGAAUGGCUUAUACUUCUUGGUCACCUAAUCUACAAACUUGCUGUGUCAGAGCCAUGUAGCUUUUCACCUUAUUCUAUCAGCUUGGUCCAGAGUUUUAGCAUCUGGCACAACUGUUCUACAUCGAUGUUUAUCACAGAUAAAAUGCUGCUCGUGAAAUGGAAAUAUUUAGAAUUGCUUCUACAUAAAUGUUGAAUGCUUUUAUAGGACCCAAGGAAAACCCUGUUGACAUUCUGAUUAAAAUUAAGGUUCUUAUCCCUUUG
This 898-nucleotide long non-coding RNA is filed under the name Mus pahari (shrew mouse). RNAcentral's name for it is "lncRNA (MGP_PahariEiJ_G0004095.1)". The record is from RNAcentral. Lineage: Eukaryota; Metazoa; Chordata; Mammalia; Rodentia; Muridae.